RNAcentral lists this ribosomal RNA (254 nucleotides) under uncultured bacterium. Its description in RNAcentral is "partial 16S ribosomal RNA". It matches the Rfam family "Bacterial small subunit ribosomal RNA", at positions 524 to 776 of the family's 1533-position model. The record is from RNAcentral.
UACAGAGGUCUCAAGCGUUGUUCGGAUUUAUUGGGCGUAAAGGGCGCGUAUGCGGCCACCGCAAGUCGACUGUGAAAUCUCCGGGCUUAACUCGGAAAGGUCAGCCGAUACUGCGGGGCUAGAGUGCAGAAGGGGCAACUGGAAUUCUCGGUGUAUCGGUGAAAUGCGUAGAGAUCAGGAAGAACAUCGGUGGCGAAGGCGCUCUGCUGGACCAUAACUGACACUCAGGGACGAAAGCUAGGGGAGCGAAUGGG